UCACUACAGCCCCAUGGCCCCAAGCCUGACUGGUGGGGAGUAUGGACUCCAACAUUCAGCCUGCAUGUCUGCUGCUACAGAGGAGAAAAGCAUGGCUUCCACCUCCUUCCACCUCCGCCUUCCAAAUUUCACACAGAUUACCUGGUGGACUCGUGGCCCACGAAUGGUGGAAAUGUGCGCCAGAGUAAGAUGCAGAGAGGAGGACAAGCCCGUAGACUUUGCAGAGGGGCCGAGAGGCCUGAGAAGUAAGAGAAGACCAGGAGACAGGGGCUCCUGAAAAGAUAGAUAAGAGAUUACCAUGCGGGGUUCCCACAGCUUUUGCAGACAGCGGCUGCGCAAAAAUUCAUUGGAAGAACUGAGGAAUGUUGCUGGCUCCAUCUGGGGGAGGGCAUGCUUGUAUCAAGACACUGAUGCUCUUGAUGUGCUAUAAUUAUAACCAGAAACACUAUCCUUUUGCCCAGGAAACUGGAUUUCCUAGUAAAUUCCUUACUUUCCAACUUGUUUAACGCUAAGAUAA
Molecule: long non-coding RNA, 517 nt
Organism: Neofelis nebulosa (Clouded leopard)
Lineage: Eukaryota; Metazoa; Chordata; Mammalia; Carnivora; Felidae
Exons: 2
Source: RefSeq, a predicted model, not a curated record